Molecule: long non-coding RNA, 687 nt
Organism: Hipposideros armiger (great roundleaf bat)
Lineage: Eukaryota; Metazoa; Chordata; Mammalia; Chiroptera; Hipposideridae
Exons: 3
Source: RefSeq, a predicted model, not a curated record
AGGGGGCGGGGCGUCCGGGGCGUCCGGGGCGUCAGGGCGUCCGCGUUGGGGCCCCCUGGGGCUCGCCAGGUGCAGCUCCUUUGCCUGCUCACCGCCAGGAACCCACGUCACCUGCCUCAGAUUUGAUUAAGAAAAGGAUGCUGUGGACAUUAGCUGACUUGCACAAACAGUGGAACUUGAACAACAGCACAGAGCAGGAUGUCGGAUGUGGCUUCUGUAACUAAGGAAAACAAUUGACGGCAGGGUUCAUCCUCAAGACCUUCUGUUCAUCGGCACAGGAAACAAGACGUGAGCUGUGUACAGUGGCUGGCCCAAGCUGCAGGAGUAAUGGAAGCUUCGUUUGCUCAGCCUGCCAGAGGACCCCAUGGCUGAGGCAGCUAACACAGGGUGCCUUGGAGCCAUCCCGGGGUGCCCACACCAGUGGCCGACUGGCAUGAAAGGCCCACAUUUCCAGGACUUCUGAAAUGGGAGACCUUAUAUUGCCUGAAACAAAAACGAUUCCACCCAUGCAUUGACUCUUCCCUGGCUGUUUUGCAAGACAUAGAUCGUUUCCAGAUGUUUGGCUUACAUUUGCCAAGUAGGUGCUCAGUUCAAAGUGCCUGUGGCAUUGCACAUCAGUAGCCAUCCGGGCGAUACUCAGAGAGGCAUUAAAACUGGACGUGUCAUAGAGAUCUAACUAAUAAUGGU